This 242-nucleotide ribosomal RNA is filed under the name uncultured Peptostreptococcus sp. Its description in RNAcentral is "partial 16S ribosomal RNA". It matches the Rfam family "Bacterial small subunit ribosomal RNA", at positions 114 to 355 of the family's 1533-position model. Lineage: Bacteria; Bacillati; Bacillota; Clostridia; Peptostreptococcales; Peptostreptococcaceae. The record is from RNAcentral.
CGCGUGGGUAACCUGCCCUAUACACAUGGAUAACAUACUGAAAAGUUUACUAAUACAUGAUAAUAUAUAUUUACGGCAUCGUAGAUAUAUCAAAGUGUUAGCGGUAUAGGAUGGACCCGCGUCUGAUUAGCUAGUUGGUGAGAUAACUGCCCACCAAGGCGACGAUCAGUAGCCGACCUGAGAGGGUGAUCGGCCACAUUGGAACUGAGACACGGUCCAAACUCCUACGGGAGGCAGCAGCA